RNAcentral lists this long non-coding RNA (601 nucleotides) under Ananas comosus (pineapple). RNAcentral's name for it is "long non-coding RNA (ACOM_LNC041929)". Lineage: Eukaryota; Viridiplantae; Streptophyta; Magnoliopsida; Poales; Bromeliaceae. The record is from RNAcentral.
CUUUUUUUUCAACCUGGCCCACGUGACGUACAGACCCGCCACAAAUACAAAGUUCCUCUGUCUACUCGGACAGAAUCUUCUUUGUAUUUGUACGGCGUACCAAUAGCUACAACAGGAUCACAACAACAACCUACAUUUACCAAUCCACAAUCAAUUCAUGCCAUGUAUUUCCAUUCAGCUAGCGAUCCUUAGAGAUGAUGCAUGCCUCUAAACACUUCUUAGGCGCUAGAUGAUGCAAUGCAUAAUACAACAAGCAUCUUAUUUGAAAGUGCUCCCCACUCGGAAGCUUUGUUUCUAAACUCUACUCAAUCAUCGAUAAAAACAUUUGAAAAUCCUUUUAAAACUGUUUCCCACUCGAAAACUCUAUUUUGAAAACCGACUAUCUCGAGGGGUAGAAAACCACGAUGCAUAAAUGUACAAAUCCAAAACCAAGAACCCAUAAAACUAAUAUCACAGAUCCACAAUCUCUAAUCACGUGCAUAAUGGGAAUUAUCAACUCUAACAAUUCACGAAUAUUCAAACAUCAAAUAUGAUCAUCUAACUGAACCAUUUAUUAUAAAUUACUAAAUACAGAAAUAAAAUAUAACCCGGGUGAUGGUCG